RNAcentral lists this unclassified non-coding RNA (19 nucleotides) under Mus musculus (house mouse). RNAcentral's name for it is "oocyte_clustered_small_RNA440". Lineage: Eukaryota; Metazoa; Chordata; Mammalia; Rodentia; Muridae. The record is from RNAcentral.
GGCUGGGCUUAGACGUGGC